Molecule: ribosomal RNA, 253 nt
Filed under: uncultured bacterium
Lineage: Bacteria
Description: partial 16S ribosomal RNA
Rfam family: Bacterial small subunit ribosomal RNA
Source: RNAcentral
UACGUAGGGCGCGAGCGUUGUCCGGAAUCAUUGGGCGUAAAGAGCUCGUAGGCGGCCUGUUGCGUCUGCUGUGAAAUCCCGGGGCUUAACCCCGGGCGUGCAGUGGAUACGGGCUGGCUGGAGGCAGGCAGGGGAGAAUGGAAUUCCCGGUGUAGCGGUGAAAUGCGCAGAUAUCGGGAGGAACACCGGUGGCGAAGGCGGUUCUCUGGGCCUGUGCUGACGCUGAGGAGCGAAAGCGUGGGGAGCGAACAGG